Molecule: transfer RNA, 85 nt
Filed under: Moraxellaceae bacterium
Lineage: Bacteria; Pseudomonadati; Pseudomonadota; Gammaproteobacteria; Moraxellales; Moraxellaceae
Description: tRNA-Lys
Source: RNAcentral
UUGGAUUGUAUAAAAUGGCAUUAAACAUGCUUUUACCCUUAUGGGGUGUAAGAGGUCGAAGGUUCGAAUCCUUCCGUCCCGACCA